RNAcentral lists this ribosomal RNA (503 nucleotides) under uncultured bacterium. RNAcentral describes it as "partial 16S ribosomal RNA". It matches the Rfam family "Bacterial small subunit ribosomal RNA", at positions 28 to 523 of the family's 1533-position model. The record is from RNAcentral.
GAUGAACGCUAGCGACAGGCUUAACACAUGCAAGUCGAGGGGCAGCACGAUGUAGCAAUACAUUGGUGGCGACCGGCGCACGGGUGAGUAACGCGUAUGCAACCUACCUAUCAGAGGGGAAUAACCCGGCGAAAGUCGGACUAAUACCGCAUAAAACAGGGGUUCCACAUGGAAAUAUUUGUUAAAGAUUUAUCGCUGAUAGAUUGGCAUGCGUUCCAUUAGAUAGUUGGUGAGGUAACGGCUCACCAAGUCUACGAUGGAUAGGGGUUCUGAGAGGAAGGUCCCCCACACUGGUACUGAGACACGGACCAGACUCCUACGGGAGGCAGCAGUGAGGAAUAUUGGUCAAUGGGCGAGAGCCUGAACCAGCCAAGUCGCGUGAAGGAUGAAGGAUCUAUGGUUUGUAAACUUCUUUUAUAUGGGAAUAAAGUGAGGAACGUGUUCCUUUUUGUAUGUACCAUAUGAAUAAGCAUCGGCUAACUCCGUGCCAGCAGCCGCCGUAA